Molecule: ribosomal RNA, 504 nt
Filed under: uncultured bacterium
Lineage: Bacteria
Description: partial 16S ribosomal RNA
Rfam family: Bacterial small subunit ribosomal RNA
Source: RNAcentral
GAUAAACGCUAGCGGCAGGCUUAACACAUGCAAGUCGAGGGGCAGCAUAGAUUGUAGCAAUACAAUUGGUGGCGACCGGCGCACGGGUGCGUAACGCGUAUGCAACCUACCCGUCACAGGGGGGUAAUCCGGAGAAAUCUGGUCUAAUACCCCAUAACAUAUGGAUCGGCAUCGGUUCAUGUUGAAAUUUUCGGAGGUGACGGAUGGGCAUGCGUAGCAUUAGCUUGUUAGUGAGGUAACGGCUCACCAAGGCGACGAUGCUUAGGGGGACUGAGAGGUUUUCCCCCCACACUUGUACUGAGACACGGACCAGGCUCCUACGGGAGGCAGCAGUGAGAAAUAUUGGUCAAUGGGCGCAAGCCUGAACCAGCCAUGCCGCGUGCAGGAUGACGGCUCUAUGAGUUGUAAACUGCUUUUGUACGAGGGUAAAGUGGGUUACGUGUAACCUUUUGAAAGUAUCGUACGAAUAAGGAUCGGCUAACUCCGUGCCAGCAGCCGCCGUAA